GACGAACGCUGGCGGCGUGCUUAACACAUGCAAGUCGAACGGAAAGGCCCUGCUUUUGUGGGGUGCUCGAGUGGCGAACGGGUGAGUAACACGUGAGUAACCUGCCCUUGACUUUGGGAUAACUUCAGGAAACUGGGGCUAAUACCGGAUAGGAGCUCCUGCUGCAUGGUGGGGGUUGGAAAGUUUCGGCGGUUGGGGAUGGACUCGCGGCUUAUCAGCUUGUUGGUGGGGUAGUGGCUUACCAAGGCUUUGACGGGUAGCCGGCCUGAGAGGGUGACCGGCCCCAUUGGGACUGAGGUACGGCCCAGACUCCUACGGGAGGCAGCAGUGGGGAAUAUUGCCCAAUGGGCGGAAGCCUGAUGCAGCAACGCCGCGUGCGGGAUGACGGCCUUCGGGUUGUAAACCGCUUUCGCCUGUGACGAAGCGUGAGUGACGGUAAUGGGUAAAGAAGCACCGGCUAACUACGUG
RNAcentral lists this ribosomal RNA (468 nucleotides) under uncultured bacterium. RNAcentral's name for it is "partial 16S ribosomal RNA". It matches the Rfam family "Bacterial small subunit ribosomal RNA", at positions 28 to 507 of the family's 1533-position model. The record is from RNAcentral.